CUUUUCGACGACUUCGUCAUAUUUUUUUUCUUUUUAUUACGAGUUCUUAGGAAUUCGUCGACUUAAGCUCGGCGUGUUCUCAAGUUCCGCGUGAGUACCUCUUAGCCGUGACAUCCGGGCCCAUCGCUGUUGUCAGGACUAAAGUAUUCGAGUUAUCACCUUUGCCGAUAGUGUAACACCCUAGGUGUUAAGCAUGCACUUAGUCUCACCAAAGCCCUGCAUAAGCAUUCCAUCAAGCAUAAGCAUCAUGAGCAUGACACUCUUGAGCAAAUUAUGAUUUUAUGUGCUUCAUUUCAUGUGUUUUAAAUAUGUUAAAAAUAUGAUACUUGCUCCU
Molecule: long non-coding RNA, 334 nt
Filed under: Sorghum bicolor (sorghum)
Lineage: Eukaryota; Viridiplantae; Streptophyta; Magnoliopsida; Poales; Poaceae
Description: long non-coding RNA (SBIC_LNC014477)
Source: RNAcentral